This 167-nucleotide ribosomal RNA is filed under the name uncultured Chlamydiales bacterium. RNAcentral's name for it is "partial 16S ribosomal RNA". It matches the Rfam family "Bacterial small subunit ribosomal RNA", at positions 307 to 471 of the family's 1533-position model. The record is from RNAcentral. Lineage: Bacteria; Pseudomonadati; Chlamydiota; Chlamydiia; Chlamydiales.
CCAACACUGGGACUGAGAACUGCCCAGACUCCUACGGGAGGCUGCAGUCGAGAAUCAUUCGCAAUGGGCGAGAAGCCUGACGAUGCGACGCCGUGUGAGCGAUGAAGGCCUUCGGGUUGUAAAGCUCUUUCGCUUGGGAACAAGAGAGAGUACUGAAUAAGUGCUUG